Magnolia sinica is the source of this 495-nucleotide long non-coding RNA. RefSeq lists it as uncharacterized. The transcript has 3 exons. Lineage: Eukaryota; Viridiplantae; Streptophyta; Magnoliopsida; Magnoliales; Magnoliaceae. The record is from RefSeq and is a predicted model, not a curated record.
UUUCCCAAAUCGCUCGCGCCAUUUCUCUCCCAAACCCUUCUUCCCUCGCCCCAUCCCCAUAUCGCGCACCCAUCCCCAAAUCCCGAAAGUCUCUCUCUCUCUCCAACGUCUCUCGAUCUCCCUUUUCCACUCCGGCCUCUCUUGAUAUGGCUUCCAUUUCCAUUGCUUGUUGAAGACGCGGAUCUCUCGGUCGUUGCCCUCCUUGCUGGAACACGCCAAAGUCCGAGAAGGCCUGUAAGAGAAGAAGCACCAGCAACAGCCGCAGCAGUAGCUCCCCUUCUCCAACAGCCGCAGUAGUUGUAGCUUUGAAGGAAGAUGGGUGCCCAAAAGUUUGGGUUGUGACUUCGGAUUUUUGUCAGCAGCAUGCUGCACAUGGGGCAGGUGCCUUUGUUUGGAGUCGCAAAGCAUUGGUUUCAGAGGUGAGAGGCAUACUCAUUGCCUUCACAUCACUGCUACUCAACAGAUCACCUAUGAAGACAUUUAAACCAAAUUGAG